This 590-nucleotide ribosomal RNA is filed under the name uncultured fungus. RNAcentral's name for it is "partial 18S ribosomal RNA". The stretch from base 188 to 341 matches the Rfam family "5.8S ribosomal RNA". Lineage: Eukaryota; Fungi. The record is from RNAcentral.
UCCGUAGGUGAACCUGCGGAAGGAUCAUUACAGAAAUAGGAGAAGGUUGCUUAACUGCAAUCCUUUUCUUUCUACACAUGUGUUUUUCUUUUUUUUGAAAACUUUGCUUUGGUGGGCCCACGGCCUGCCAGAGAUUAAACUCAACCAAAUUUUUAUUUAAUUGUCAACUUGAUUAACUAAUAGUUAAAACUUUCAACAACGGAUCUCUUGGUUCCAGCAUCGAUGAAGAACGUCGCGAAAUACGAUAAGUAAUGUGAAUUGCAGAAUUCAGUGAAUCAUCGAGUCUUUGAACGCACAUUGCGCCCGCCGGCAUUCCGGCGGGCAUGCCUGUUCGAGCGUCAUUUCAACCAUUAAGCACCAGUCUGCUUAGCGUUGGGACCUUGCGGGGAACCGCAACUCCCCAAAACCAUCGGCGGGGCCGGGAUGGCUUCAGGCAUAGUAGAUCUCUUCUCGCCUCCACAGACAUCCCCGUGCCACGGCCGCGAACCGAGCUCGGGUGGCUUCACGCCGCCCGUCCUCACUUUUUUCUUGGUUGACCUCGGAUCAGGUAGGAAUACCCGCUGAACUUAAGCAUAUCAAUAAGCGGAGGA